GUGCCCGCUUCGGUAGCACAUAUACUAAAAUUGGAACGAUAGAGAGAAGGUCAGCGGGGCCCCUGAGCAAAGAUGACACGCCAAUUCGGGAAGCGUUCCAUGUUUUU
Small nuclear RNA from Equus asinus (donkey), 107 nucleotides. The record is from Ensembl. Lineage: Eukaryota; Metazoa; Chordata; Mammalia; Perissodactyla; Equidae.